UAAGUGGAUUAGUGAGUUGUUUGUUUGUUUUUCCCCAGGGCACCUCAGCUUUUGAAUGUGUGGCCACCCCCACUCUCAUGUCCCUGGGCAGCUCAACACUAAAUAUCCAACCACCCCUUCUGGUGUGAUGAGGCUGCCUGGCCAUCCUAGGUGGAAUCAACCACACUCAGCUCUGUGGAAGAAGGAAUGCCCAAUACUGUUCCCCAGAGCCGCCUGCAGCAACUGACACCUGCCCCACCUCAGCUGCCGCUCCACCUGCUCAGGCCUGCCUCCAGAGUUGUCAGAAAUUCGCCUUUCUGUGGACCUUUUAUAUAAAUGGACUCAUACGGACGGGCGCAGUGGCUCACGCCUGUAAUCCCAGCACUUUGAGAGGCUGAGCCGGGUGAAUCACGAAGUCAGGAGUUCGAGACCAGCCUGGCCAACAUGGUGAAACCCCAUCUCUACUAAAAAUACAAAAAUUAGCCAGGCAUGGUGGUGGGUUCCUGUAAUCCCAGCUACUCGGGAAGCCGAGGCACGAGAAUUGCUUGAACCCGGGAGGUGGAAGUUGCAGUGAGCUGAGAUCAUGCAUGCCACUGCACUCCACCCUGAGUGACAGAGUGAGAUUCCGUCUCAAAAAAUAAAUAAAUAAAAAUUGAAAAAGAAAAUGGACUCAUA
Molecule: long non-coding RNA, 654 nt
Organism: Homo sapiens (human)
Lineage: Eukaryota; Metazoa; Chordata; Mammalia; Primates; Hominidae
Exons: 2
Source: RefSeq, a predicted model, not a curated record